GGGCCCGUAGCUCAAUUGGGAGAGCGGCGGCUUCUUACUCCGCAGGUCGAAGGUUCGAUUCCUUCCGGGCUCG
Molecule: transfer RNA, 73 nt
Filed under: Myxococcales bacterium
Lineage: Bacteria; Pseudomonadati; Myxococcota; Myxococcia; Myxococcales
Description: tRNA-Lys
Rfam family: tRNA
About the family: Transfer RNA (tRNA) molecules are approximately 80 nucleotides in length.
Source: RNAcentral